CUUAACUCCCCCUCUCCGGCUCAUAGUGACAACCCACAUAGCACAGAUUUGUGAAAAUCAGAGUUCACGGUGUCUUGAAGGCAAUGGGGGAGGCAUGAUCCAGAAUACAGUCUGUGUUGCUUCUCUGCCCCUCCUUAUUUCUUUUACAUCUUCCUGUGUUCGAAUACGUCUUGAAAACCGCAGAUCUGCUCUCUCCUUCGCAUGCUUUUCACCAGAAAGAAAAGUGGAAGGCACAUGUCAGUGCCAACAGCACCAUCUUCUGUCUGCAGAGGUUAUGCAGCCUUCACUCACGCUUCCCUGAGUCCUCCAGAGAUGGGGCCGGUUGAGACUCCUGGAUCUACUGCUGGAUGUUGAGCUCUUCGUGAGUUUGAGUGUCUGAACAAGUCUGAUUGUAUGCGGGGAAGUGUGGGUGUAUGAAAGGCUACAAAAGCUUCAGCUCUUGUACCACUUAUCCCUGGAGCAACCUUUUCAUCUGCCUUUUAUUAUUCUCCUCACAAAAACUCAGUUGCAAAACUUACCCUACAUUUUUUUUUCCCUGUGGCUGAAUAUAUUGCCAGUUUAUAAUUUUUAUUAUUAUUGCUUCUUGCAAUUAGUGUUAUCCUUCUUCUCUACGCAUAUUACUGCACUGACUGUCCUUAGGGGAGCAGCAGGCAAUCAUUUUUGCCUUAGGAAAUUUGCAGCCCAAAUGGAUGAGAAGAUAAGCACAGUCAGGGGACCACCUUACUGGUUCACAUAGAUAGCGUAGGAUUAAUGUCAGUGUUAAAACAAAGCCGUGUUUGUGGAAUGAGAGAGAAAAACAAGGCGGUGUUUAGCAUGAAGAAAAACAUGAAGCAUGAAAGUACUUGCUUGAAAGUCCAGUGCAUGGACAAUUAGGACUGGUAGCGUUGGGUAGGUCAGUGUGAAAGCCAAUGUCUUGGCAUUAGAUAAGAGGAUGGGAAAGUAUAAAGUCAAAGAUUAUUUUGGAUGUAACUAGAAGAAAGGGAUGCCACAACUGGCUGAGCAAACUUUAGUGAGAGUAAAUCUUGCUGACUGCAGGAAACCUGGUCAGUGAGGGUCUGAAGUGGAACUGGAGCAGACAAACUCCAUACUCACUGUAAGUGGGAAGUAAGUUUAGAUAUGAAGGGGAGGAGGGAGAGAAGGCAGUAGCUGAGGAGACAGGCUGAAUCUCCUUUUAAAGGACGAAAGAUUAAAAUAUACUUGCAUCACAACCCAAAAGAGCUAGAAGAAAGGUUUAAAAGCAGUGUAGAGGAGGAAAUGAAACAGGAUUGAGAGGAUUAGGAAAUAAAAGCACAGCCAGCUUGUAGAAAUGAUCUGACCACCUACUUGGCUAGACAUUAUUUAUUUUCUCUUCCAGUUGGACCACUUCUUCCUCUAUCCCUCUUAGCCAAGGGUUCAAGGAUUAAAGAACAAACUCUACAUGAGGUGGCUUUCUUCUUUGCCUCUCUCAUCCCUUGUAACUCUUUUUCCUAUCCCCUAGCUUUCGCUAGUGCUUUCGCUUCUACCCAACUUGUUCAGCUUCAUCUAAACUUAGAAGAUAUGUACACAGGUCCCACUCACGAAGAGCUCCAAGCAUGGCAUCCACCCAGCAGGAAGCUGUGUCCUCUGCAUCCCCUGCAGCCUCUCUGUCCACAGAAACCAACGUGGCUUCCCAGACAGAGCUCCCAGGGAACAUGCAGCCACUCAGGUGUAGGGUUGCAGAGAGUGCCUGAACUCUGGAACUCAAUGGACAAGCAAAUGUGGAUGAAGGUCCAUCCAGGUUGGAGGGGUCACUUAUGGUCACUUUCGUCAAGAAAAACAGAAAGGCAGUUGUUAGAGAAACACAGAAUAUAUCAAUCUGAAAGAGGAUCACCAGGAUCACUGAGUCCAACUGCCAGCUCCAAACAGAAACACCCAAAACUCAAACCCUAUGUCUGAGAGAAUUGCUCAAAUGCUCCUUGAACUCUAGCAGCCUGGGGCCAUGGCCACUUCCCUGGGGACCACUCCUGCUGCAGUUGUUAACAUACUGUUAAUACUAAGCAUAAAUUUUGCUAUUUAUGUACCAACUAGCUCAUUACAUAUUAAUGAAUGCCUUCUGGGUGUAUUCAGUGCUAGUCAGACAGGGAUAAUCUUUCUUCCCAUGACCCCUACUGUUCCUUUCUUUUUCUUGACUUCAUAUCUACCUUCCUGAUUUUUUUUCCCUUUAGCUUUCUGCAUCACGUUCACAUACUCCCUAGUCUAACCUCUCAUGAGCUGAAUUCCUCAUCCACUUGUCUGAUCUGACAAUCUGCAGUAGUGCAGUUCAAAUGUAAAUGCUGUGUUUCAGUUGAUAAGAUUUUGCACCCGUUGUGAUAAAAAUAAAGGCAAGGUGGAAUUCAGACAAUAAUGGAGAAAAACAAAGCACCUGAUAUGUUAUUGUUUUGAUUGUACACACCUUUAAAGCUUAAUUUGGCUAGGUCCUGCAUGUGCCUGGAACUUUUGGGGACUUAUUCAAGCCUGUUUAAAAGAAGUGCCAACAAUACAUCUUGACUGCAUGCUUUAGGUAACAAAUGGAAGAAUUACUAAAGACAUCAGAGUGACUGGAUAAGCAAACAAAACAUGCUAUAGCAUAG
Long non-coding RNA from Gallus gallus (chicken), 2588 nucleotides. NCBI's taxonomy places the organism in Eukaryota, Metazoa, Chordata, Aves, Galliformes, Phasianidae. The record is from Ensembl.